AAAAAAAGAAAUUACCUAGGCAUGGUGGUGCCUCCCAGCUGCUUGGGAGGCUGAGGUGGGAGGAUUGCUUGAUCCAAGGAGGUUGAGGCUGCAGUGAGCCAUGAUCAUGCCACUGCUCUCCAGCCUGGGCAGCAGAGUGAUACCUGCCUUAAAGACACAAACACAACUCAAGUGAGACUUUGCUUCCCAGAGGCCUGAACUCUAUUUCAGAUGAAUAUUUUCUGUUACUUCCCCCCAGGAGCGAAUCCGUUUAGCUCGACAGAUUGAGAAAUCUGAGUAUCGGAACUUCCAGGCUUGCCUGCACAACUCUUGGAUUGAGCAGGCAGCGGCUGCCCUGGAGAUUGAGCUGGAAGAAGACAUGUAUAAGGGAGGAAAAGCUGACCAGCAAGAAGAGCGUCGGAGACAAAAGCAGAUGAAGGUUCUGAAGAAGGAGCUGCGCCACCUGCUCUCCCAGCCGCUGUUUACAGAGAGCCAGAAAACCAAGUAUCCCACUCAGUCUGGCAAGCCGCCCCUGCUUGUGUCUGCCCCAAGUAAGAGUGAGUCUGCUUUGAGCUGUCUCUCCAAGCAGAGGAAGAAGAAGACCAAGAAGCCGAAGGAGCCGCAGCCGGAACAGCCACAGCCAAGUACAAGUGCAAAUUAACUGCCCUG
This 648-nucleotide small RNA is filed under the name Pongo abelii (Sumatran orangutan). RNAcentral's name for it is "retained intron". Lineage: Eukaryota; Metazoa; Chordata; Mammalia; Primates; Hominidae. The record is from RNAcentral.